GAUGAACGCUGGCGGCGUGCCUAAUACAUGCAAGUCGAGCGAACGGACGAGAAGCUUGCUUCUCUGAUGUUAGCGGCGGACGGGUUAGUAACACGUGGAUAACCUACCUAUAAGACUGGGAUAACUUCGGGAAACCGGAGCUAAUACCGGAUAAUAUUUUGAACCGCAUGGUUCAAAAGUGAAAGACGGUCUUGCUGUCCCUUAUAGAUGGAUCCGCGCUGCAUUAGCUAGUUGGUAAGGUAACGGCUUACCAAGGCAACGAUGCAUAGCCGACCUGAGAGGGUGAUCGGCCACACUGGAACUGAGACACGGUCCAGACUCCUACGGGAGGCAGCAGUAGGGAAUCUUCCGCAAUGGGCGAAAGCCUGACGGAGCAACGCCGCGUGAGUGAUGAAGGUCUUCGGAUCGUAAAACUCUGUUAUUAGGGAAGAACAUAUGUGUAAGUAACUGUGCACAUCUUGACGGUACCUAAUCAGAAAGCCACGGCUAACUACGUG
This 497-nucleotide ribosomal RNA is filed under the name uncultured bacterium. RNAcentral's name for it is "partial 16S ribosomal RNA". It matches the Rfam family "Bacterial small subunit ribosomal RNA", at positions 28 to 507 of the family's 1533-position model. The record is from RNAcentral.